GACGAACGCUGGCGGCGUGCUUAACACAUGCAAGUCGAACGGUAAGGCCCCAGCUUGCUGGGGUACACGAGUGGCGAACGGGUGAGUAACACGUGGGUGACCUGCCCCGCACUUCGGGAUAAGCCUGGGAAACUGGGUCUAAUACCGGAUUCGACCGCACCGUGAGGGUGUGGUGGAAAGUUUUUCGGUGUGGGAUGGGCCCGCGGCCUAUCAGCUUGUUGGUGGGGUAAUGGCCUACCAAGGCGGCGACGGGUAGCCGGCCUGAGAGGGUGGACGGCCACAUUGGGACUGAGACACGGCCCAGACUCCUACGGGAGGCAGCAGUGGGGAAUAUUGCACAAUGGGCGGAAGCCUGAUGCAGCGACGCCGCGUGGGGGAUGACGGCCUUCGGGUUGUAAACUCCUUUCACCAUCGACGAAGGUUUUCUGACGGUAGAUGGAGAAGAAGCACCGGCUAACUACGUG
Molecule: ribosomal RNA, 464 nt
Filed under: uncultured bacterium
Lineage: Bacteria
Description: partial 16S ribosomal RNA
Rfam family: Bacterial small subunit ribosomal RNA
Source: RNAcentral